UGGGGAAUAUUGGACAAUGGGCGCAAGCCUGAUCCAGCCAUGCCGCGUGAGUGAUGAAGGCCCUAGGGUUGUAAAGCUCUUUCACCGGUGAAGAUAAUGACGGUAACCGGAGAAGAAGCCCCGGCUAACUUCGUGCCAGCAGCCGCGGUAAUACGAAGGGGGCUAGCGUUGUUCGGAUUUACUGGGCGUAAAGCGCACGUAGGCGGACUUUUAAGUCAGGGGUGAAAUCCCGGGGCUCAACCCCGGAACUGCCUUUGAUACUGGAAGUCUUGAGUAUGGUAGAGGUGAGUGGAAUUCCGAGUGUAGAGGUGAAAUUCGUAGAUAUUCGGAGGAACACCAGUGGCGAAGGCGGCUCACUGGACCAUUACUGACGCUGAGGUGCGAAAGCGUGAGGAGCAAACAGG
Molecule: ribosomal RNA, 404 nt
Filed under: Actinomycetes bacterium
Lineage: Bacteria; Bacillati; Actinomycetota; Actinomycetes
Description: Actinobacteria bacterium partial 16S ribosomal RNA
Rfam family: Bacterial small subunit ribosomal RNA
Source: RNAcentral